RNAcentral lists this long non-coding RNA (731 nucleotides) under Neogobius melanostomus (round goby). RNAcentral describes it as "lncRNA (ENSNMLG00000013281.1)". The record is from RNAcentral. Lineage: Eukaryota; Metazoa; Chordata; Actinopteri; Gobiiformes; Gobiidae.
GGUUCAGUCGGCAAUGCAUCCGCCAUUAAGCAAGAAGAAGAAGCAGAGAGUUGCGCGUUUGUUGCAUGGAUCUAAUAUAAUAAACGGUUUGUUGUUGUGGUGAGACAUGAGUUUAAUCUUUUGAAUAAAUAGACCCUGUGUGCACGAUAUUAUUUCUAUGGCACUAUAGCAAAUGUUACUUCCUGUGAAUGCGAUGGAAGGCCACAGGUAUGAUAGACUUAUGGGAGGACGAAGGUCGAACAAAGAAAAGAUUAAUGAUGGAAGGUUUAAGAUCCAGGACUGUCGUUGUUCACCGAAACAAGAGCCAGAAUCGUACUGCUAAUAUUUUGGUAAAAACGCUCUGGAAAGAGGAAGAGGAGCAGCUCUCUGUGAGUUUUUGUCCAUUAAAGAGCUCACCAAGUGAAGAAAAAGAAUUUGUUAAGAAGGAGACUAGAGAGGAUUAUAGACCAGACAUUUGGAAAAAUCGGCCAAAAGUAUUGGCCAAUCAUAUCGGCAUCAGCCUUGGAAAACCCAUAUCGGUCUAGCAUGUAGGUCUAGGGUGUGUAACGUUUGUAUAUAUUCGGAGGGAUGGGAGGGUGUACUAGGCGUAUUGUUUUAAAUGUUUUAAUCUGUAAAGCACUUUGUGAUACCUUUCGGUAUGAAAAGCGCUUUAUAAAUAAAGUUUGAUUGAUUGAAGGAUGCUAACCCCGAGCCUGCGUCCGGACAUCAAUCAAUCAAUCAAUCAAUCAAAC